Molecule: ribosomal RNA, 301 nt
Filed under: uncultured bacterium
Lineage: Bacteria
Description: partial 16S ribosomal RNA
Rfam family: Bacterial small subunit ribosomal RNA
Source: RNAcentral
CAGUAGCCGCGGGAAAACGAAGGGGGCUAGCGUUGCUCGGAAUCACUGGGCGUAAAGGGUGCGUAGGCGGGUUUUUAAGUCAGAGGUGAAAUCCUGGAGCUCAACUCCAGAACUGCCUUUGAUACUGAAAGUCUUGAGUAUGGGAGAGGUGAGUGGAACUGCGAGUGUAGAGGUGAAAUUCGUAGAUAUUCGCAAGAACACCAGUGGCGAAGGCGGCUCACUGGCCCAUAACUGACGCUGAGGCACGAAAGCGUGGGGAGCAAACAGGAUUAGAUACCCCCGUAGUCCCUGUCUCUUAUAC